GGGAGUACCACGGGCUGGUCAAAAUCACAUUGUGGAGGUGCAGAUUGCAUCGUGUUUUUUAAGAAGUACUUGUGAUUUUUUUCAAGAAAUACUUGUGUUUUUUCUGGAAAUACUCAUGUUUUUUCAAUAAACUUUUUCUUGCGAACGCAAGAGCACUAGUUUUCCAAGUUUCUUUGUAUUUGUUAGGUUUAACAAAAUCGAUCAUUAUUACCUCCGAAUCAUUACAUCUAGUUUAUGCUUUAGAUGGAGGGUAAUCUUAUUUUAUCUUCUAAACAGUUUUUAUAAAUCUGCCUUUUUUAAAUA
Molecule: long non-coding RNA, 303 nt
Filed under: Setaria viridis
Lineage: Eukaryota; Viridiplantae; Streptophyta; Magnoliopsida; Poales; Poaceae
Description: long non-coding RNA (SVIR_LNC002038)
Source: RNAcentral